This is a non-coding RNA of Microcebus murinus (gray mouse lemur), 1945 nucleotides long. Lineage: Eukaryota; Metazoa; Chordata; Mammalia; Primates; Cheirogaleidae. The record is from RefSeq and is a predicted model, not a curated record.
UAGUGCGCAGGCGCAGCGCCACUUACCCAGCAUGGAAGUGGUCGGUCUCGCAUGUGUGGUAGCAGCGGUCCUCGCUUGGGGCUUCUGGGUUUGGGACUCCUCAGAACGAACGAAGAGUCAGGAGCAGGCAGGCUUGCUGGGAGCUGGAAGCCGGACCCUCCUGGUGAUCGCGCACCCCGAUGAUGAAGCCAUGUUCUUUGCUCCCACGGUGCUAGGCUUGGCCCGCCUAAGGCACCAGGUGUCCUUGCUUUGCUUCUCUGCAGGAAAUUACUACAAUCAAGGAGAGAUUCGUAAGAAAGAACUUUUGCAGAGCUGUGAUGUUUUGGGGAUUCCACCCUCCAGUGUAAUGAUUAUUGACAACAGGGAUUUCCCAGAUGACCCAGGAGUGCAGUGGGACACAGAGCUCGUGGGCAGCAUCCUCCUCCAGCAUGUAGAAGCAAGUGGCAUCAACCUGGUGGUGACUUUCGACGCAGGGGGAGUCAGCGGCCACAGCAACCACGUGGCCCUGUACGCGGCUGUGAGGCCCGAUGCUCUCAGGCUAGAGCAGGUGACACGUGGAGUUGGACAGGACCUCACCCGCCGUGAGCUCCAGCCACCUCCCGUACUGCGGCCGCGGCGUGUCUGCCCGGCACGGCACGGCUGAGCGAUGGCAGCGGCAGCACUGGGACCCUGGCAUCCUGGCUCUCCGCUCGUUACUCUGUCAGAUGCGAGUGACCAGUCCAACCCGAGGACCCUCCCGUCUUGUCCCUAAAUUGUACAUCGCCUAGUGGAAGGUGCUAUGAAUGGAAAUGGUCACCCAUGUGGUCCCUCCAGACGGCUCUCUGUGCCGCUGCCGUGGGAUUAGGGCAGGCCAGACCGCUGUCCCCUCUUGUAAAGACUGCCCGCUUCCCGGCCAGCCAGAGGCCGCAGCCGUGGAGGAGACGUGCUGCUCAGGGCAUCGGGUCCCUUCACGUUCAGGAAAGACACACCCCCAGUCACAGUGCGAGAUGCAGUUUUCUGUGGAGAUGCAUGGGAAAAUGGGGCAGCCCACGCGUGGUCUCCCCAACCAUGUGGUCGCCACGCUCCCAACCUGACCCUUCUUGGAGCAGAGUCCUCUGGGCGUUAAGGGCCGGGAGGGUGACUUCGGGGCGUGCACCUCCAGCGCUGCCCCUCUCCUGGGUCCCCUGACCAGCUCAUACUCAGAAUGGCCCCAGGGCUCUGCCCAAAGUGAGGGACAAGUCAGGUCACUCUCAGGGUCCCAGAAACCUAUUGCAGGUUUUUCCACUUCUCAGGCUGUGCGGGCAGGCGGUUCCACAGUUUGCCAGCUGUCCCUCAGCGCCUGCGCCCGCCUCGCCCCCUGCAGGCAGAAUGGCCGGCCCUGUCAGAAGGGUGGAGUGGGGAGGUGGAAAGGAGAAAGGAAAUAUCAGGAAGAAAGAGUAUAUUCCCCUACUUGGCCACGGUGGCUCACGCCUGUAAUCCUAGCACUCAGGGAGACCAAGGCGGGCGGAUCGCUCAAGGUCAGGAGUUCAAAAAUAUUCCCCUACCAUACUCGCAAUUUCAAGAGAAAAACUUUGAAGAGCCCCAAGUAGCUACCUCCAUCCUCUAAGGGCGAAGCUGGGACCAGGGCGCCGGGAGCCACAGACCGGCCUCCGAUUGGCUGUCCUUGGGCAAGGUGCCCACCUGGCCCCUCAGCUAUAGCCAGAGGUGUGGAGUCCUGGAAGUCUGUGUGGUGACUUACGGGAAGGAAACCACCUGGGAGCCCCUGUGGAGGGGACCACGGGCAGGGCCAGCCUCCGCCACGGCCCCUCUGUUCCCUACAGACCCCUUGCGAUCUCACUCUCUUGUUCUGCCCUUUCCCUCCUCCAGGGCCCUGCACUCAGAAGGGAAGUUACCUAAAGGGUGCUCCGUGCUCACGCUGCAGUCUGUGAAUGUGCUGCGCAAGUACCUCUCCCUCCUGGACCUGCCC